Molecule: ribosomal RNA, 841 nt
Filed under: Tuber nitidum
Lineage: Eukaryota; Fungi; Ascomycota; Pezizomycetes; Pezizales; Tuberaceae
Description: eukaryotic LSU rRNA
Rfam family: Eukaryotic large subunit ribosomal RNA
Source: RNAcentral
CGAGUGAAGCGGCAAAAGCUCAAAUUUGAAAUCUGGCACCUCCGGUGUCCGAGUUGUAAUUUGGAGAGGCAUCUUCCGGGGGGGUCCAGCCUAUGUUCCUUGGAACAGGACAUCACAGAGGGUGAGAAUCCCGUUCAUGGUUGGAUGUACCCUUCGUCAGGUGGUGCCUUCUACGAGUCGAGUUGUUUGGGAAUGCAGCUCAAAAUGGGUGGUAAAUUUCAUCUAAAGCUAAAUAUUGGCGAGAGACCGAUAGCGCACAAGUAGAGUGAUCGAAAGAUGAAAAGCACUUUGAAAAUAGAGUCAAAAAGUACGUGAAAUUGUUGAAAGGGAAGCGCUUGAGACCAGACUCAGCCUUGGACAAACCUCCCUUCUGGGUGGACACCUGACCUUGGCUGGGCCAGCAUCAGUUAGGACGGUGGAAUAAAGGCUCGAGGAAUGUGACUCCACUUAGGAGUGUUAUAGCCUCGGGUGCCAUCCCACCUGCCCUGACUGUGGACCGCGCUUCGGCUAGGAUGCUGGCAUAAUGGUCUUUAGCGGCCCGUCUUGAAACACGGACCAAGGAGUCUAACAUCUAUGCAAGUGUUUGGGCUACAGACCCUCACGCGUAAUAAAAGUGAACGGAGGUGGGAACCCCGAGUGGGGCGCACCAUCGACCGAUCCUGAUGUCUUCGGAUGGAUUUGAGUAGGAGCAUAGCUGUUGGGACCCGAAAGAUGGUGAACUAUGCCUGAAUAGGGUGAAGCCAGAGGAAACUCUGGUGGAGGCUCGCAGCGGUUCUGACGUGCAAAUCGAUCGUCAAAUUUGGGUAUAGGGGCGAAAGACUAAUCGAACCAUCUAGUAGCU